UACGGAGGAUGCAAGCGUUAUCCGGAAUAAUUGGGCGUAAAGCGUCCGUAGGUGGCUGUUCAAGUCUGCCGUUAAAGACCGGGGCUUAACCCUGGAAAGGCGGUGGAAACUGAGCGGCUAGAGUGCAGUAGGGGUAGAGGGAAUUCCCAGUGUAGCGGUGAAAUGCGUAGAGAUUGGGAAGAACACCGGUGGCGAAAGCGCUCUGCUGGACUGCAACUGACACUGAGGGACGAAAGCUAGGGGAGCGAACGGG
This 253-nucleotide ribosomal RNA is filed under the name uncultured bacterium. RNAcentral describes it as "partial 16S ribosomal RNA". It matches the Rfam family "Bacterial small subunit ribosomal RNA", at positions 524 to 776 of the family's 1533-position model. The record is from RNAcentral.